This 1456-nucleotide ribosomal RNA is filed under the name uncultured organism. RNAcentral describes it as "SSU rRNA". It matches the Rfam family "Bacterial small subunit ribosomal RNA". The record is from RNAcentral.
GAUGAACGCUAGCUACAGGCUUAACACAUGCAAGUCGAGGGGCAGCAUGGUCUUAGCUUGCUAAGGCCGAUGGCGACCGGCGCACGGGUGAGUAACACGUAUCCAACCUGCCGUCUACUCUUGGACAGCCUUCUGAAAGGAAGAUUAAUACAAGAUGGCAUCAUGAGUCCGCAUGUUCACAUGAUUAAAGGUAUUCCGGUAGACGAUGGGGAUGCGUUCCAUUAGAUAGUAGGCGGGGUAACGGCCCACCUAGUCUUCGAUGGAUAGGGGUUCUGAGAGGAAGGUCCCCCACAUUGGAACUGAGACACGGUCCAAACUCCUACGGGAGGCAGCAGUGAGGAAUAUUGGUCAAUGGGCGAGAGCCUGAACCAGCCAAGUAGCGUGAAGGAUGACUGCCCCAUGGGUUGUAAACUUCUUUUAUAAAGGAAUAAAGUCGGGUAUGGAUACCCGUUUGGCAUUUAUUUUAUGAAUUAAGAUCGGGCUAACUCCGUGCCCAGCAGCCGCGGUAAUACGGAAGAUCCGAACGUUAUCCCGAUUUAUUGGGGUUAAAGGGAGCGUAGAAUGAUGUUUAAGUCCAUUGGUGAAAGUUGCGGGCUCAACCGUAAAAAUUGCAGUUGAUACUGGAUAUCUUGAGUGCAGUUGAGGCAGGCGGAAUUCGCGGUGUAGCGGUGAAAUGCUUAGAUAUCACGAAGAACUCCGAUUGCGAAGGCAGCCUGCUAAGCUGCAACUGACAUUGAGGCUCGAAAGUGUGGGUAUCAAACAGGAUUAGAUACCCUGGUAGUCCACACGGUAAACGAUGAAUACUCGCUGUUUGCGAUAUACUGCAAGCGGCCAAGCGAAAGCGUUAAGUAUUCCACCUGGGGAGUACGCCGGCAACGGUGAAACUCAAAGGAAUUGACGGGGGCCCGCACAAGCGGAGGAACAUGUGGUUUAAUUCGAUGAUACGCGAGGAACCUUACCCGGGCUUAAAUUGCAGAUGAAUUACGGUGAAAGCCGUAAGCCGCAAGGCAUCUGUGAAGGUGCUGCAUGGUUGUCGUCAGCUCGUGCCGUGAGGUGUCGGCUUAAGUGCCAUAACGAGCGCAACCCUUGUUGUCAGUUACUAACAGGUUCCGCUGAGGACUCUGACAAGACUGCCGUCGUAAGAUGUGAGGAAGGUGGGGAUGACGUCAAAUCAGCACGGCCCUUACGUCCGGGGCUACACACGUGUUACAAUGGGGGGUACAGAGGGUCGCUACCACGCGAGUGGAUGCCAAUCCCCAAAACCUCUCUCAGUUCGGACUGGAGUCUGCAACCCGACUCCACGAAGCUGGAUUCGCUAGUAAUCGCGCAUCAGCCACGGCGCGGUGAAUACGUUCCCGGGCCUUGUACACACCGCCCGCCAAGCCAUGGGAGCCGGGGGUACCUGAAGUGCGUAACCGCGAGGAGCGCCCUAGGGUAAAACUGGUGACUGGGGCUA